Molecule: transfer RNA, 68 nt
Filed under: Balta sp. Cairns, Australia
Lineage: Eukaryota; Metazoa; Arthropoda; Insecta; Blattodea; Pseudophyllodromiidae
Description: tRNA-Arg
Source: RNAcentral
AAGUAUGAAACAAAUUAAUUGUAAUUAGUUUCGACCUAGUAGUAAGAUAAUAUUAUUAUCCAUACUUA